This 1358-nucleotide ribosomal RNA is filed under the name Mycobacterium sp. Its description in RNAcentral is "bacterial SSU rRNA". It matches the Rfam family "Bacterial small subunit ribosomal RNA", at positions 72 to 1443 of the family's 1533-position model. The record is from RNAcentral. Lineage: Bacteria; Bacillati; Actinomycetota; Actinomycetes; Mycobacteriales; Mycobacteriaceae.
AGGCCCUUCGGGGUACUCGAGUGGCGAACGGGUGAGUAACACGUGGGUGAUCUGCCCUGCACUUUGGGAUAAGCCUGGGAAACUGGGUCUAAUACCGAAUACACCCUUCUGGCUGCAUGGUCUGGUUGGGGAAAGCUUUUGCGGUGUGGGAUGGGCCCGCGGCCUAUCAGCUUGUUGGUGAGGUUACGGCUCACCAAGGCGACGACGGGUAGCCGGCCUGAGAGGGUGACCGGCCACACUGGGACUGAGAUACGGCCCAGACUCCUACGGGAGGCAGCAGUGGGGAAUAUUGCACAAUGGGCGCAAGCCUGAUGCAGCGACGCCGCGUGAGGGAUGACGGCCUUCGGGUUGUAAACCUCUUUCGCCAGGGACGAAGCGCAAGUGACGGUACCUGGAGAAGAAGGACCGGCCAACUACGUGCCAGCAGCCGCGGUAAUACGUAGGGUCCGAGCGUUGUCCGGAAUUACUGGGCGUAAAGAGCUCGUAGGUGGUUUGUCGCGUUGUUCGUGAAAACUCACAGCUCAACUGUGGGCGUGCGGGCGAUACGGGCAGACUGGAGUACUGCAGGGGAGACUGGAAUUCCUGGUGUAGCGGUGGAAUGCGCAGAUAUCAGGAGGAACACCGGUGGCGAAGGCGGGUCUCUGGGCAGUAACUGACGCUGAGGAGCGAAAGCGUGGGGAGCGAACAGGAUUAGAUACCCUGGUAGUCCACGCCGUAAACGGUGGGUACUAGGUGUGGGUUUCCUUCCUUGGGAUCCGUGCCGUAGCUAACGCAUUAAGUACCCCGCCUGGGGAGUACGGCCGCAAGGCUAAAACUCAAAGAAAUUGACGGGGGCCCGCACAAGCGGCGGAGCAUGUGGAUUAAUUCGAUGCAACGCGAAGAACCUUACCUGGGUUUGACAUGCACAGGACGUGCCUAGAGAUAGGUAUUCCCUUGUGGCCUGUGUGCAGGUGGUGCAUGGCUGUCGUCAGCUCGUGUCGUGAGAUGUUGGGUUAAGUCCCGCAACGAGCGCAACCCUUAUCUUAUGUUGCCAGCGCGUAAUGGCGGGGACUCGUGAGAGACUGCCGGGGUCAACUCGGAGGAAGGUGGGGAUGACGUCAAGUCAUCAUGCCCCUUAUGUCCAGGGCUUCACACAUGCUACAAUGGCCGGUACAAAGGGCUGCGAUGCCGUGAGGUGGAGCGAAUCCUUUCAAAGCCGGUCUCAGUUCGGAUCGGGGUCUGCAACUCGACCCCGUGAAGUCGGAGUCGCUAGUAAUCGCAGAUCAGCAACGCUGCGGUGAAUACGUUCCCGGGCCUUGUACACACCGCCCGUCACGUCAUGAAAGUCGGUAACACCCGAAGCCGGUGGCCUAACCCCU